GCGAGGCAAGUUAACACAACUGGCAGUGAGUCCUCAUCCCAACCGAGAUACACAAUACAUUACCUACCUCAAUAUAAACCACUGGGAACUGAAAAGAAAGAGAUAGUAUGAGUGUGAGAUAGAGUUUAGAAAGAGAACACCAUGACAUUAGCAUUAAUACAGUAUCGGGACCAGAGGAAGUAAGCCUGUUCAUUUCUUGUCCAAAUGAGGAGAUGUGGCUCCAUUUCAUUCACAAUACUUUGUAUGUUUAGUUUGGGACAUACGCCUCUUAAGAAGUCAUGACUUCCCUUUAAUGAAAUAAUGUACAAUUGAGAAACCUACAUUUAGGUAAAAAGGUCCUAAUAAUAGUUUAUUUUGCAGACGAUGUUUAUCUCUGAGAAAUUCUCCAUUUCUCUAGGAGAGAAAUGAAAUGCACUUAUUUUCUUCAGUUCAAUGAAAAUAAUUGAGUCUUUAAGGGCAUAAUUUUAACUGAAUAUUUAAUUUGUUUAAAAAAUGUAGUUGAUGAACUGAUCUCCCUUAUUCUCCAGCAGCGAUACACUUUUGAGAUCUUUCUGUGAUAGAUUUAAGAAUCUCAUAUUGGUCUCGGUUCUCCGAAAGAAUAGGUUUUACAAUUUUGCCUGUUUCUGCCAAUCUUACCCACUGUUGUGACACUCACCAUUUCAUUCAAAGGGUGAAAAUUGACAUCCACAGAGACAAUGCGGAAUCUCACUGAAACACAGAGAUUUUUCUCAUGAAACCCUCCAGUGGGAACUCAGGGUGGUAAGACAGAUAACAACGUGCAAGGAUUUCCAUAAGUUAAUAGAGAACCACACUUCCAACCCUUCAAAUUGCUUUUGCUCAUUUGGUUCUUUAUACCUGUUUGUCCUGGUUUGUAGAUGGGUUUGUCUGUCUGAACAAAGACAAGGCUUUCUGCUUUUGUUAUGUGAAUCCACUUCCUCUUUAUGAAGUGCUGGGUUGGCCCUUUCACCUGCACAGUGAUGAACGCUGAGGAAGAUGAUGACUCCGGAAUCUGUAAAAACGAAAUGAGCUGAAGAAUCUGCCCAGAUCCACUUCUGAAUGUCUCAGCCUUUGUGAUUUUCUCAUUUCUCUGGAGGGAUACUGACCAUGAAGGAGCUGCAGUAGAAGGAGUGCUUCGCCCCCAGGUCUGUGAGGAGAUUCCUGCUCUGCAUCUCAUACUCCAGAGUUACUGUCAGUUCCACUGUCUCAUUCAGGUGAUUAAGCACGACACAGGCCUUCUCGGUAACCCCAGCAUACAGCUGUGAUGGGACCAGGACCAGAUGAUCUUUGCUAUCGUCACCAAUCAGAGAGCAGAGCCAGAUUUCAACAGGAGUGGAGAGGAGUAUAUUCUUCAAAGACCAAUCCAGAAGGCCUUAGAAACUCAGAAAGCCCCUGCCAAGUUAAACAUCAGUAUGCUUCUCCUAUACUGUGGAAAUAGUCACUCUCGAUAUUAGUAAACCUAUUCAUAAGUUAUGGAUAAGCACUCCAUGAGUUGUUAUAUAUUUUGUAUAGAAAUAAUUUUCAAAUUUAGAAAUUUUCAAUGAAUCAAGUAAAUGUGAUCAUACACACGCAUGCGCACGCACACACGCACACACACAAAUAUUAUUCAGAAACCCUGCUGUUCAUGACAACAUGAAUGGGCCUUGAGGGCAUUAUGCUAAGUGAAAUGAACCAGAUAGAGAAAGACAAAUACUGAUGGUAUCUCUUACAGCAUGCGGACGGAGUCUUUAAAAAAAAGUCAAACUCAGAGACAUAGAGUAGAAAAAUGGUUACCAGGGAAUGGGGGAUGGAGGAGAAUAGGGAUAGGUUGGUAAAAGAACACAAACUUUCAUUUAUAAGUUGAAUAGGUUCUGUCUGAGGAUGUACUAUAUAACAUGGUGACUAUAGUUGAUAACAUUGUAUAAUUGAAAUUAUAUAAUUGAAAUUUGCUAUGAGAACAGAACUUAAGUGUUCUCAACCCCCCAAAUAAAUAUUUGAUAGAUGUGUUAGAUUAAUCGUUAGAUUAAUCUAUGUGAUAGAUUAAUUAAACUCAAUGGGGAGAAUCCUUUCACAAUAUAUAUGUGUGUACACUUUAAAUCUCUUACAAGUUUAAUUCUCAGUUAUAUGUAAAUAAACCCCAAAAAAACUUUAAAUUUUUUUUAGUAACAAACAAUAUUAUUAAUCAGUUAAUGAUCAUUGAAACCAGUAAGAAAACCUAUCCACAUGUGGUCUUGGGUUUCAAUGGAUGAUAUCACAAACCUCUUUGUUCCAGGAAACAUUGAGAGAUAACGAUAAUACGUGGAGAGGAGCUGAAUCGUUUUUCACUACUGUUUCAGAAGCAACCUUAGCUCUUUUCUUUCUUCCACUCUCUAGAGAUGGAAGAAAAACUAGGCUAAUCAUCAGACAUAUUACCAUAUACAUGCAGAAGAAAAUAUUCUCCUGUUGCGGUUUGCCCAUUGUUUACAAUCACCUAAAUGUGCUGCACUUUGUGAUGUUCUGCUGGCCCAUGACUCUCUCUCUUUCUGAAGUGUCCUGGUCUAGCUGGAAAACUUCUAUUGGCUUCAUAAGACUCAUCUCAAAAGCAACUUUCUUAUGUGGACUUUGGUGAUGCCUCUUCCCUUGUAUCAGUUCCCAUGAAGAGUUAGGUUAUCUCUGAGUAUUCUCACAGAAUCCUACAAUGCCUGGUUCUGUUUUUGCAUUUUAUUUCAUUCGCUGUGCACCAUCUCUCUCUCUCUCUCUCUUU
Long non-coding RNA from Lagenorhynchus albirostris (white-beaked dolphin), 2719 nucleotides. RefSeq lists it as uncharacterized. The record is from RefSeq and is a predicted model, not a curated record. NCBI's taxonomy places the organism in Eukaryota, Metazoa, Chordata, Mammalia, Artiodactyla, Delphinidae. The transcript is spliced from 3 exons.